This 273-nucleotide unclassified non-coding RNA is filed under the name Hevea brasiliensis (rubber tree). The record is from RNAcentral. Lineage: Eukaryota; Viridiplantae; Streptophyta; Magnoliopsida; Malpighiales; Euphorbiaceae.
AAAAAAAAAAAAAAAAAAUUUACAUGACAUUUGAAUUCUUUGGUUCAAUUCCCUUUCAGCAAUGAGUAUGCCCACGCUAUAGUUUAUUUCUCUAAGGAGUCAAAAAUAUGACCAGGUGACAAGCCAAGUAUUUGACUCCUUGCCUAGCAAAAAAUUACGGAUAAUUUGAACUCAAAUAUAAUAUUCUUGGCGUAACUUGAUGAAGAAGAUGACAUUAUUACAAAACACAACAGCAUAUCAAGCAAAUAUAACUAAUGAAGAAGAAGAAGAAGA